CCUACGGGGCGCUGCAGUGGGGAAUAUUGGACAAUAGGCGAAAGCCUGAUCCAGCCAUGCCGCGUGUGUGAAGAAGGCCUUCGGGUUGUAAAGCACUUUCAGUGGGGAAGAAAGCCUUGGGGCUAAUACCCUCGAGGAAGGACAUCACCCACAGAAGAAGCACCGGCUAACUCCGUGCCAGCAGCCGCGGUAAUACGGAGGGUGCGAGCGUUAAUCGGAAUUACUGGGCGUAAAGCGCGCGUAGGCGGUCUGAUAAGCCGGUUGUGAAAGCCCCGGGCUCAACCUGGGAACGGCAUCCGGAACUGUCAGGCUAGAGUGCAGGAGAGGAAGGUAGAAUUCCCGGUGUAGCGGUGAAAUGCGUAGAGAUCGGGAGGAAUACCAGUGGCGAAGGCGGCCUUCUGGACUGACACUGAUGCUGAGGUGCGAAAGCGUGGGUAGCAAACAGGAUUAGAUACCCUAGUAGUC
RNAcentral lists this ribosomal RNA (465 nucleotides) under Vreelandella stevensii. Its description in RNAcentral is "partial 16S ribosomal RNA". It matches the Rfam family "Bacterial small subunit ribosomal RNA", at positions 338 to 795 of the family's 1533-position model. The record is from RNAcentral. Lineage: Bacteria; Pseudomonadati; Pseudomonadota; Gammaproteobacteria; Oceanospirillales; Halomonadaceae.